GUGUACAAAAUGAUUCUUGAGAGCUAGAAAAAAGAAUACUUUGGUUCUGUUGAGGAACCAAAAGGUGUAGAAUUUGGAGCAUAGGUUAUCGAAGUCUACAUACUGUGAUGGUUUCUUCCCUUGUGUUGGCUGAUAAUUAUCGGAGUGGGAAAAAUGAAUGAGUAAAUCUCUACUAUUGUCUUCGGUAACCUAGAAAUACCA
This 201-nucleotide unclassified non-coding RNA is filed under the name Hevea brasiliensis (rubber tree). Lineage: Eukaryota; Viridiplantae; Streptophyta; Magnoliopsida; Malpighiales; Euphorbiaceae. The record is from RNAcentral.